RNAcentral lists this ribosomal RNA (809 nucleotides) under uncultured Verrucomicrobiota bacterium. Its description in RNAcentral is "bacterial SSU rRNA". It matches the Rfam family "Bacterial small subunit ribosomal RNA", at positions 8 to 796 of the family's 1533-position model. The record is from RNAcentral. Lineage: Bacteria; Pseudomonadati; Verrucomicrobiota.
AGAGUUUGAUCCUGGCUCAGAACGAACGCUGGCGGCGUGGAUAAGACAUGCAAGUCGAACGGAUUUACCGGCGUAGCAAUACGUCGGUGAGUCAGUGGCGCAAGGGUGCGUAACACGUGGGCAACCUGCCCUGGGGUUCGGGAUAGCCCGCCGAAAGGCGGAUUAAUACCGGAUGUGGCUACCGAAGGAUUCUUCGGGACGCCAAAGGCGGCGCAAGCUGCCGCUCCUGGAUGGGCCCGCGGCCUAUCAGCUAGUUGGUGAGGUAACGGCUCACCAAGGCGAUGACGGGUAGCUGGUCUGAGAGGACGACCAGCCACACUGGAACUGAGACACGGUCCAGACACCUACGGGUGGCAGCAGUCGAGAAUUUUUCUCAAUGGGGGAAACCCUGAAGGAGCGAUGCCGCGUGGAGGAUGAAGGUCUUCGGAUUGUAAACUCCUGUCAUUGGUGAACAAGAUUUUCCCGUUAACUGCGGGGGGAUUUGAUAGUAGCCGAAGAGGAAGGGACGGCUAACUCUGUGCCAGCAGCCGCGGUAAUACAGAGGUCCCAAGCGUUGUUCGGAUUCAUUGGGCGUAAAGGGUGCGUAGGCGGCUUCCUAAGUCUGAUGUGAAAUCCUGGGGCUCAACCCUGGAACUGCAUUGGAUACUGGGAGGCUAGAGUACUGGAGAGGAAACUGGAAUUUACGGUGUAGCAGUGAAAUGCGUAGAUAUCGUAAGGAAGACCAGUGGCGAAGGCGAGUUUCUGGACAGUUACUGACGCUGAGGCACGAAGGCCAGGGGAGCAAACGGGAUUAGAUACCCCGGUAGUCC